Molecule: long non-coding RNA, 437 nt
Organism: Salvelinus namaycush (lake trout)
Lineage: Eukaryota; Metazoa; Chordata; Actinopteri; Salmoniformes; Salmonidae
Exons: 4
Source: RefSeq, a predicted model, not a curated record
UGAUAGAUGUUGUCGUGGACAUCCCUGAUCUCAGAAACAGGCCACACACGUUUCUUGGAAGCAUGUCAGGGAUGGUGAGAUUCUUCAUAUUUGUUGUUGGCAAUACCUUGGGUGCUCAUGUGGAUUUGACAAGACAUCUCGUCAUCAGAGGAGGCUGUACUGAAGGGAUGUCACAAGAGGAAAGUGAUGUCAUCAUGUCUUUCUGUCCUAUCGUCUCUCGUGCUGGGACUGAUAUUGAAGCAGCACUGCAGCAGAUUCCUGCUGGUAAACCUGUCAUUCUGGUAGUACUGCAUCACACCUUCAACCCAGACUACACUGUACCUGACAGCAGCAGACUAGUGACCAGAAGUGAUGUAAUACUCACAGUGGACUGUCUCUUCCAUGAGAGCCAGGGACUAUUGGAGUGUCAUCGCAAUGAAGCAGCAGUCAAAGAGAUU